AAGUCGUAACAAGGUUUCCGUAGGUGAACCUGCGGAAGGAUCAUUAACACGUAUCCAAACGUUAAAACCCCCCCCGUGAACCUUCAUCCUGCUCUUGUAACCCGCGUAGUUCGCAAUCUCUGAUAAAUCAUAGCCCGGAAAGUUGUAGUGAUUCAGAGACCUCUGGCUACGUGCGAACAUUGGAACAGUUACAAUCGAGCGGUAGUUCUAUAGGCAAUGUUUCUCCAAGCAGUCAGUGUCGGAAAGUGUCAUUGAUUGUGUAAGGGUGGCGCAAACACGAUCGUUGGAGGCCGACACGGCCGACGACCGGGUCCCUGGGUCACCAUGCCCCUUAUAAAUCACCACACUGUAACGCCGACAGGUCGCGAUAAUUCCGCUGACCACAAAAAACCGAACAACUGUUAACAAUGGAUAUCUUGGUUCUC
RNAcentral lists this unclassified non-coding RNA (425 nucleotides) under fungal sp. Its description in RNAcentral is "partial internal transcribed spacer region". The stretch from base 1 to 46 matches the Rfam family "Eukaryotic small subunit ribosomal RNA", at positions 1786 to 1831 of the family's 1831-position model. Lineage: Eukaryota; Fungi. The record is from RNAcentral.